AGCUUCAUGUGAAAAAGUUCUUUUUUGCUGAACAAUCCAGGCAGGACGAAGAAGAAAAGGAACGAGAAUCCAUUGCACGAAACAAUCAAGAAGUGAAGAAAGAAAAGAUUCUUCUCGUCGACCUCUCACCCCAACCACCGCAAACAGACGGGAUACAUCGGACCUCGGCCAGCCGUAUCACCGUAACUUCAGUGAGUCAGUCAGCAUGACCAGCAAUCGCGGACAGCAGCGGGAGACGAUGACCUCAGCACCAUGGGCUAUAAAAUCUACAGACGACUUCAGACUCCUCAGAGGGCACGCUGGUGAUUGCGCCGGCAAGAUGCUUAAAUUACAAUGGUCUUCACUACAGAUACUGCUGUGGCAGUCUUUCUACACCAGCAAAGUCGACUGCGGGAAUGCAAGACCAGUAGCUGCGGCGUCAUGUGCUGUCAACCUGCAGUACGUCCCUGAUAAUCAAACGCAAUCCUGGCACCUGCAAAGUGGGUUUCCCGUCAUCGACGACAACAGAACAAGAAAGUAUGCGCCGGAAAACCAAGGAUCAGCUACUGCGACAGAGGCGUGGCUGCUCUCCAAACUGCCCCUGGAAACGCUGCGGCUUUAGUAG
This 604-nucleotide long non-coding RNA is filed under the name Ixodes scapularis (black-legged tick). RNAcentral describes it as "uncharacterized LOC120848938". Lineage: Eukaryota; Metazoa; Arthropoda; Arachnida; Ixodida; Ixodidae. The record is from RNAcentral.